GACGAACGCUGGCGGCGUGCCUAAUACAUGCAAGUAGAACGCUGACGGAGGAGCUUGCUUCUCUUGAUGAGUUGCGGACGGGUGAGUAACGCGUAGGUAACCUGCCUUGUAGCGGGGGAUAACUUUUGGAAACGAUAGCUACUACCGCAUAACAGUAGAUGUUGCAUGACAUUUGCUUAAAAGUUGCAAUUUCCUCACUACCAGAUGGCCCUGCGUUGUAUUAGCUAGUUGGUGAGGUAAGGGCUCACCAAGGCAACGAUACAUAUCCGACCUGAGAGGGUGAUCGGCCACAAUGGGACUGGGACACCGCCCAGGCUCCUACCGGGGGCAGCAGUAGGGAAUCUUCGGACAUGGACGGAAGUCUGACCGAGCAACGCCGCGUGAGUGAAGAAGGUUUUCGGAUCGUAAAGCUCUGUUGUAAGAGAAGAACGAGUGUGAGAGUGGAAAGUUCACACUGUGACGGUAUCUUACCAGAAAGGGACGGCUAACUACGUG
Molecule: ribosomal RNA, 495 nt
Filed under: uncultured bacterium
Lineage: Bacteria
Description: partial 16S ribosomal RNA
Rfam family: Bacterial small subunit ribosomal RNA
Source: RNAcentral